UGGGGAAUUUUGGACAAUGGGCGAAAGCCUGAUCCAGCAAUGCCGCGUGUGUGAAGAAGGCCUUCGGGUUGUAAAGCACUUUUGUCCGGAAAGAAAUCCUUGGCUCUAAUACAGUCGGGGGAUGACGGUACCGGAAGAAUAAGCACCGGCUAACUACGUGCCAGCAGCCGCGGUAAUACGUAGGGUGCAAGCGUUAAUCGGAAUUACUGGGCGUAAAGCGUGCGCAGGCGGUUUGCUAAGACCGAUGUGAAAUCCCCGGGCUCAACCUGGGAACUGCAUUGGUGACUGGCAGGCUAGAGUAUGGCAGAGGGGGGUAGAAUUCCACGUGUAGCAGUGAAAUGCGUAGAGAUGUGGAGGAAUACCGAUGGCGAAGGCAGCCCCCCUGGGCCAAUACUGACGCUCAUGCACGAAAGCGUGGGGAGCAAACAGGAUUAGAUACCCUGGGUAGUCCACGCCCCUAAACGAUGUCAACUAGUUGUUGGGGAUUCAUUUCCUUAGUAACGUAGCUAACGCGUGAAGUUGACCGCCUGGGGAGUACGGUCGCAAGAUUAAAACUUAAAGGAAUUGACGGGGUCAUAGCUGUUUCCU
Molecule: ribosomal RNA, 588 nt
Filed under: uncultured bacterium
Lineage: Bacteria
Description: partial 16S ribosomal RNA
Rfam family: Bacterial small subunit ribosomal RNA
Source: RNAcentral